RNAcentral lists this ribosomal RNA (310 nucleotides) under uncultured bacterium. RNAcentral describes it as "bacterial SSU rRNA". It matches the Rfam family "Bacterial small subunit ribosomal RNA", at positions 30 to 342 of the family's 1533-position model. The record is from RNAcentral.
AUUGAACGCUGGCGGCAUGCCUUACACAUGCAAGUCGAACGGCAGCACGGGAGCAAUCCUGGUGGCGAGUGGCGAACGGGUGAGUAAUAUAUCGGAACGUGCCCAGUCGUGGGGAUAACGUAGCGAAAGCUACGCUAAUACCGCAUACGAUCUAUGGAUGAAAGCGGGGGAUCGCAAGACCUCGCGCGAUUGGAGCGGCCGAUAUCAGCUUAGGUAGUUGGUGAGGUAAAGGCUCACCAAGCCGACGAUCUGUAGCUGGUCUGAGAGGACGACCAGCCACACUGGGACUGAGACAGGCCCAGACUCCUAC